GACGAACGCUGACGGCGCGCCUAACACAUGCAAGUCGAACGAGUGGAGUUCCUUCGGGAACAAAGCUAGUGGCGGACGGGUGAGUAACACGUGAGGAACCUGCCUUUCAGAGUGGGAUACCGUUUGGAAACGAACGUUAAUACCGCAUAAUGUAUAUUGAUCGCAUGGUCGAUAUACCAAAGAUUUAUCGCUGAGAGAUGGCCUCGCGUCUGAUUAGCUAGUUGGUAGGGUAACGGCCUACCAAGGCGACGAUCAGUAGCCGGACUGAGAGGUUGACCGGCCACAUUGGGACUGAGAUACGGCCCAG
Molecule: ribosomal RNA, 307 nt
Filed under: uncultured bacterium
Lineage: Bacteria
Description: bacterial SSU rRNA
Rfam family: Bacterial small subunit ribosomal RNA
Source: RNAcentral